Molecule: long non-coding RNA, 4079 nt
Filed under: Homo sapiens (human)
Lineage: Eukaryota; Metazoa; Chordata; Mammalia; Primates; Hominidae
Description: HSALNT0173772
Source: RNAcentral
GAGGUUGCAGUGAGCCAAGAUCACGCCACUGCGUGAUCACGCCACUCCAGCCUGGUGACAGAGGGAGACUGUGUCUCAAAAAAAAAAAAAAAAGAAAAGAAAAGAAAAGAAAAUGGCAGAGCUCAGGUUGAAGUGAUUCUAAAGCCUUUGAUGCUAACUGCUCUAGCGUCUUAGAGGACUGAGUAAAACCAUUCCCUGUCAUCCAGGUACCAUUGUUAGUCAAGCUCCUGUGGAAACACAUUCAAAUGGGGCAAUCGAGGAACACUUAAUGAACAGUCUGUUUUUUUGUUUGUUUGGUUGGUUGGUUGUUUUUUGAGAGAGAGUCUCACUAUGUUGCCCAGGCUGGAGUGUAGUGGUACAACCUCCGCCUCCCAGGUUCAAGUGAUUCUCCUGCCUCAGCCUCUCAAGUGGCUGUGACUACAGGUAUACACCACCAUGCCCAGCUAAUUUUUAUAUUUUCAGUAGAGACAAGGUUUCACCAUGGAGGCCAGGCUGUAAUGAAGGGUCUAUUUUAAAAGGUGUGGGCAGGGUUAAGGGAAAUGAGUGAGGGGUAGUGAAGUCCCCUGGCUCUAGACACUGCAGGGAGUCUGUUACCAUCCCUGUGGCUGAGAGAGGAGGGAAGAGGAGUGAGUGGUUCUAGAACCCAGACAGAGAGGAACUGGAGAGAGUGGAGAAGCCUACGGUACAGAAAGGCUGAACUUCUGAAAGGAACAUUGUUAACUUGAGCUGACUUAGCAGGGAAGGAGCCAAGGAACACAGAGCCUGACCUCAUUCUUCUUUCUCCCUCCAGGCUCUGUCACUAUUUCCCAUUGGCCAAACGCUACUGGAAGUGGAAGGCUAAGAAGCCCGAUGGUGCAAUCCAUACACGUCAGCCUCUGGGGCCAGAGUGGGAUGAAAAAAGGCUCAUGAUGGAGCCCGAGUUAUAUGGCAGGAGAUGAUUUCCACGGUCUGUGAACACUGAAGAUGAGACUGGCUUGGGGCCACGUGCCAAACUGCACAGCCAGUAAGACCUGCUUCCAUCGACCCACAGCAGCUCUGACUUUUUUUUUUUAACAAUAGAGAAGAAACUACCACAGGGAAGAGAGAGAACAAUGGCAUUUUGACAAAUGGAACAAAGAUAGAGUGUGACUGACAAUUCAGGUCAGAAGGAAAAUUAAAGCACAGGAAGACUGAUGUUGGUCGGCCUCCUUGCCAAGAAGCAAAAACUCAGGGGGAGGCAUCCAGCCACAUGCGAACUGGCUCAACACUGGCCAUUUUGUUUGAGCAAUUUUGUUGGAUGUUUUCUACAAAAGAGCACUUUUUCUCGGACUUCAAACAUUCUUAUAUGCAGGAUCGACACCACACACUGCCAUCAUCCCCUGGAGUAGUAUCCUUGAGACCUGAGGAGGGGAAAACUGGAGGGACGUUGUGGGACUCCAUUGAGAAAUGUGGUCCUUUGUCUCCCUGGAGAUCUUUGAGGACGGUUCAGAUAAAGUUGCUGCCAGUGGAAGCAGCUAGGCUCAGAAACCUCCAGUUGCCCUUUCUAGACUUGUAAUCCUCUGAAAAAUGGAAAUUAGGAAGCGUUCAUUUAUGACCUUGAAAAAAAUCGUUUACAAAAGUAUAUUAUAUCACUAAAAUGAGCUGGAAAAAGGGUUUAUGUGAAAGUUCAUGUGAGAAACACAGCUAUUAGCACGCAUGCCAUUCCCCACCUUGACCUCAGCAGGAAUGUGUAAAUUGUAACAUAUGGAAUGUAAGCCCUGUCGAGAUGUUUCAUAAAUCUGCCUGGCAAUGAGCAUCACAAGGCCCUGCAUGAGAACAGGCCCCAGAAAUGGAGAGACAAAUAAAGAAACAUCAGAAAUAUUAAAAUGAGGACCAAAAGGAGUCCCAGGUAUAGGAGCAUGAAACAUCUGGCAACAUGUAGCAAAAACAGGAGACUUUUUUCUUCUAACGGAAUUUUGGCCUCUUGGUGCCAGUAUGUGAAAAAGGCCUUGUAGGCCAGGUGCAGAGGCUCACGCCUGUAAUCCCAGCACUUUGGGAGGCCGAGGCUGGCAGAUUACGAGGUCAGGAGUUCAAGACCAGCCUGGUCAACAUGGUGAAGCCCCGUCUCUACUAAAAAUACAAAAAUUAGUUGGGCGUGGUGGCGCAUGCCUGUAAUGCCAGCUACUUGGAAGGCUGAGGCAGGAGAGACGCUUGAACCCUGGAGGCGGAGGUUGCAGAGAGCCAAGAUCGCACCACUGCACUCCAACCUGGGUGACAGGGUGAGACUCCAUCUCAAAAAAGAAAAAAGAUAAAGGCCUUGUAAUUGGCCAGAAUGAGGGGAAGUUAGACAAGAGAGGAAGAAAUAUAAAUAUAAUUAAACUGUCGGAAUUGAUUUUUUUUUUUUUUUUUGAGAUGGAGUCUUGCUCUGUCACCCAGGCUGGAGUGCAGUGGCGUGAUCUUGGCUCACUGCAAGCUCCGCCUCCCAGGUUCACACCAUACUCCCGCCUCAGCCUCCUGAAUAGCUGGGACUACAUGGGCCCGCCACUACACCCGGCUAAUUUUUUUGUUUUUGUAUUUUUAGUAGAGAUGGGGUUUCACCGUGUUAGCCAGGAUAGUCUCAAUCUCCUGACCUCAUGAUCCGCCUGCCUUGGCCUCCCAAAGUGCUGGGAUUACAGGUGUGAGCCACCAUGCCCAGCCAAAUUUUCAAAUAAAUAAAUAAAUGUGUAGCAAAAGCAAAUGGGCUGGUUUGUUUUGGUUUGUGUGGUUUUUUUAAUGCCUGUAAUGAGAUUGGGCUGGGGGUGCAGGAAGCAGACCGAGCGAUAGAGGACCCAGGCUCAUUAUGGCUCUGCAGGAAAUAGCAUGGGUCCAGGGACUAAUGUGGAAAAGGAAAGCAUCUGGAGAUGGAGUCAAGAGAGAUGGUUUCUAACCACCAAUAAGCAUUUGACAAGGAAAGCCCCAUAACCUCCCUACUCAGCCUACCCUGUAAGGAUUCUGUGAGAGGCACCUGUAUUCACGGACUCUGUAAAGCUCUAGGGAAUCCUCAGGAGAAGCCUAUCUUACUGGCAUGUGAGAAUCCUCCAAGAUCUCACCAGCCCCACCAGCUUGAGAGUGGCCUAGAAGGACCUUCUGCCUCUGUCCUCCCAAAGUGACUCCUAUUAAAGGCAAAAUGUGUCCGAGUCAGCCCAUCUUAAAUGGCUGACUAGUGAAAUUUAUUUCUGCAUGCAACAGAAUACCUUUUUUUUUCCUCCCUUCUGCCUGGGUCUAUGACUUGGUUGUGCUCAGCAGAAGGAAGGUAGGAAAGGCACAUUUUGAAAGUGUAGCGAGCAUUUGAGCAGACUGAAUUCAAUUUUGGAUACAAAUGUCAAGGAAAGAUUCUCUUGGCUCUGAGCUCCUUGCUCACUGAGGCGCAGUGUGAUGCUCCAUUGAAAGACCUGCUGAUCUGGCCAGUGCUGGGCUGAUGAUAAUAAAGGGGGAGCGAGGGGCAGACCACUGAGCAGGAGGAGGAAUGACCUUCCAGAGGAUGUGUUGGAAAGACUCUGCCAGGCUCUCCUGCACACACUGGACAGAGGGCAAGAACCUGGAGAUCUGCUUCAGUCCCAGCUGUGCCAUGAAUAUGCUGUGCAUAUAGCCCCUUCCCUCAGCUUAGGCUUGAUUUUCCUGGCCCAUAAAAUGAAAGAACUGGAACAGAUAAUCUCUAAGGCUUUUUCUUUCCAAUAUUUUAUGAUUCUGGCAUUUAAAGCAUCUGCAGGUGCCGGAGAGGAAUGCCAGCAAAGAGUGUAUGAGAAAAAUUGGCAUAACUAUUGGGAGGGUAAUUUGAUAUUAGCUUUCAAAUUUUUUAUUAUUUCGUUUAAUUUUUUUGGGGGGGACAGCAUCUUGCCCUGCCACCCAGGCUAGUGUGCAGUGGCAUGAUCAUGGUUCACUGCAGCCUCUAUCUCUGAGGCUCAAGUGAUCCUCCCACCUCAGCCUCCCAAGUAGCUGGCACUACAAGCAUAUGCCACCAGGCCUGGCUAGUUUUUUUUUUUUUUUUUUUUUUGAGACAGAGUCUCACUCUGUCACCCAGGCUGGAGUGCAGUGGCUGAUCUCGGCUCACUGCAAGCUCUGCUUCCCAGGUUCACACCAUU